AUGGUGCACUGCAAGCAGCCGCGCAGGACGCCCGGCGUCCCCGGGAACGGGGGUCGCGCGCGCGCCGGGGGCGGGGGCCAGGCCGUGGCGGCCGACCCCGGCUACAUGCGACCGACCAGCAGCUCCGGCGCCAGGGCCGGCCGGGAGGUUGCAUCUGCGGCGGCGGUUUCGGCGGCCUCCGCUCCCUCCGCGCAGACGUUGCUGACCAAGGCGGCAGCGCUCGGAGGGAGCACGCCGCUGGCGGCCAGGCAGACCUGCUCCUCCGCCCAGAAGGGCGCCCGCGCCCUCGGCGGUGGCGGCGGGGGCUGCGAGGGGCACCGCGCCUGCCGGUACGCCUACUGCACCUUCAAGGGCCACGCGCCCGCGGCGCCGCCGCUGGGGGCCUUCCUGGCGUCCCGCAGGAGCCUCAUCAAGACGGAGCAGAGCAUGAAGCACAGGGGGGUCUCCGCCUUCCGCAACCCCAGCAGCAAUGCCGCCCGCAAAGGAGACGACGGGCUCUUCGUCCAGGUGGCGUGUCCCGGCGCCCGCCCCAAGACGGCGAGCUCGGGCUCCUGCUGCAGCGGCCUCUCCGCCGAGGAGGUGGAGUCUCCCUACGUCAACUUCGGCCGCCGGAGUCUCCGGGGUGGGACGACGGACAAGUGGGGCGCCUCGGUGGACGGCUCCUGCGGGUCCAGCGACGUCAUCUCGGACGGCUUCGCCGACCUGCCAGGGACGGCGAGCUCUCCCUCUCCCUCUCCCGGACGCAAGGAGCAGACUGGUCAAGAUGAGAGGAAGGCUUCUUGGGUCGAUCAACAAGAAGCAGAGGAGGAGGACUCUGCUGCCUGCUGCAGGUCUGAUAUCUCAGAGGAGCUGGGUCCAAGAUACCAAGGCAACAGCAUGUCUAAAGAUUGCGGCGGCGUUGUCGGCUCUUCACUGGAAUCCUCAAUGGAUGACAUAUCCAGUGCAUUUGGUGGGAUGAAUUUCCAAGAUGCAGGGGCUGAUGCCGCGGCGGCAACCAGCCAGGGAAACAAGCUGACCAUGUCCAGGAGAAGAACACCUAGAGGCGGGGAGCGAAUCCGGGCAUUCAACCCCAGGGCCCCGAACUUUCUUCCGGUGGUGCCUGAUCCGGAUGCUGAAAAGGUUGACCUCAGGCAUCAGAUGACCGAUGAUCGCAAGAAUGCCGAGGAGUGGAUGGUCGAUUAUGCACUCCGGAGGACAGUGAACAAGUUGGCCCGUGCUCAGAAGAGGAAGGUGGAGAUGCUUGUCCAGGCCUUUGAGACUGUUCUGCCACCGGUCCUCGGCGAGAAGAAGUCCGACGACAAGAAAAGCUUUGCCUGCAACUUAUAG
This 1326-nucleotide ribosomal RNA is filed under the name Triticum aestivum (bread wheat). RNAcentral's name for it is "partial small subunit ribosomal RNA". The record is from RNAcentral. Lineage: Eukaryota; Viridiplantae; Streptophyta; Magnoliopsida; Poales; Poaceae.